Molecule: ribosomal RNA, 433 nt
Filed under: uncultured bacterium
Lineage: Bacteria
Description: partial 16S ribosomal RNA
Rfam family: Bacterial small subunit ribosomal RNA
Source: RNAcentral
AACGAACGCUGGCGGAAUGCCUAACACAUGCAAGUCGAACGAUCCCUUCGGGGAUAGUGGCGCACGGGUGCGUAACGCGUGGGAACCUGCCCUUAGGUUCGGAAUAACUCAGAGAAAUUUGAGCUAAUACCGGAUAAUGUCUUCGGACCAAAGAUUUAUCGCCUUUGGAUGGGCCCGCGUUGGAUUAGCUAGUUGGUGGGGUAAAGGCCUACCAAGGCGACGAUCCAUAGCUGGUCUGAGAGGAUGAUCAGCCACACUGGGACUGAGACACGGCCCAGACUCCUACGGGAGGCAGCAGUGGGGAAUAUUGGACAAUGGGCGAAAGCCUGAUCCAGCAAUGCCGCGUGAGUGAUGAAGGCCUUAGGGUUGUAAAGCUCUUUUACCCGGGAUGAUAAAGACAGUACCGGGAGAAUAAGCCCCGGCUAACUCCGUG